AUAAACACAGCUUGUGGGCUUCCCUUGCUGCCUCCUUUCUUGGCAUUUAAGACAUACACCUGCCUGCAUUUCAGAUCUUUCUGGCAGGCUCAGGAACACCAGCAGGCUCUUUGCAGCCAUGGGCUGCAUUGAGAAAGUGCAAGAAAACCAAGUGAGGCUCUUGGGCUCUUAGCUCCUCAGCCUGCGUCUCCAGAGUGGCUUGGCUCUGCUCAGCAAGGGAGAGUGUGCACAGCCCAACACACAGGAACCCAGGAGGGGAGCAGGCCAGAAACCCCCACUGAGGGCUACUGCUGUUUGAGCAACCAUAGCCUCAGGAUCUCCAGCGUUCAGCUCUCAUUUCCUGUGACUUCCGAAUGGGCACUUUGAGACAACCCACCUGGUGUCUUUCAUAACCUGGGUCCUGACGGCCCCUGGCAUUUCUUCAUCUGGGAUUGUGAACCCCCGUGGGCCAUGGCUAUGCCCCAUUCCUUGUGACAUACUCUGUGGAGGUGAGUUCAGAACUCAGUCCCCAACAUAUUUAUGGAGGCAAAUAAAAAACCCCAAAGGGGCAAUGCAGAAA
RNAcentral lists this long non-coding RNA (559 nucleotides) under Homo sapiens (human). RNAcentral's name for it is "HSALNT0151771". Lineage: Eukaryota; Metazoa; Chordata; Mammalia; Primates; Hominidae. The record is from RNAcentral.